This 212-nucleotide ribosomal RNA is filed under the name Citharexylum fruticosum. RNAcentral describes it as "5.8S ribosomal RNA". The stretch from base 7 to 162 matches the Rfam family "5.8S ribosomal RNA". Rfam says of the family: 5.8S ribosomal RNA (5.8S rRNA) is a component of the large subunit of the eukaryotic ribosome. It is transcribed by RNA polymerase I as part of the 45S precursor that also contains 18S and 28S rRNA. The record is from RNAcentral. Lineage: Eukaryota; Viridiplantae; Streptophyta; Magnoliopsida; Lamiales; Verbenaceae.
CAUAACGACUCUCGGCAACGGAUAUCUCGGCUCUCGCAUCGAUGAAGAACGUAGCGAAAUGCGAUACUUGGUGUGAAUUGCAGAAUCCCGUGAACCAUCGAGUCUUUGAACGCAAGUUGCGCCCGAAGCCAUUAGGCCGAGGGCACGUCUGCCUGGGCGUCACGCAUCGCGUCGCCCCCCACCCACUCCCCAAUAAUCCGGGGAUGGGGAAG